This 758-nucleotide long non-coding RNA is filed under the name Homo sapiens (human). RNAcentral describes it as "non-protein coding lnc-KIAA1143-3:1". The record is from RNAcentral. Lineage: Eukaryota; Metazoa; Chordata; Mammalia; Primates; Hominidae.
UGUUUAUGGUUUCUUUUGAAUAAACAUAGAAAUUGGCCCUCCCAGUCUUAAAACGUAAGAAAGUUACAUUUGUCUUAUCUGAGUUCCUUUCUCAGGGAACCAACCAACAGGCAUCCCAGACAAGAUCAAGGAACUGAAACUUACCAGAUCAUGGCAACUGGACAAAUGAGAUGCCAGGCCCCUCACCUGUCAUGGCUGCCUAACUGACAACCUGUUUCCUGUUAACCAACUCCUUUUCCUUACCCCUCCCUAGUUCCUGCUUUUCCACACAUGGUUACCUUUCUUGCUAUAUAAACUCCCAAUUUUAGUCAGUCAGGGAGAAGGAUUUGAGACUGAUCUCCUAUCUUGGCUAUGGCACUCAUUUAAAGUCUUCUUCGCUGGCAAUACUCCUUGACUCAGUGAUUGGCUUUCUGUGUGGUAAGCAACCAGACCUAGGCUGAACUCCUAAUGUUUCAGGAACAUUUGCAUGUCUCUGAUUCCAAAGAAGUUUUGUGCCACUAUAUUCCUUCUUUGGGGAGCUACCUAUGUCCAUUUUCCACCAGCUGUGUUUCUAUCCUUCUCCUGAAGGAUAAAUUAAGGUGGUAAAAUACUUUGUCAUCAGUUGCAAAUAUUUUCCCCAUCUGUUGUUAGAAUUUUUGUUUUUAAUAUUGUAUAAUCUUCCCUUAUGAGUUCUAAUCUUUAUAUCAAGAUAUUUUCAGAGUCACAUAAACUCAAGAUAUUUUUAUGUAUUUGUAUUUUUUCUUCUCCUUAAAAAAAAA